RNAcentral lists this unclassified non-coding RNA (212 nucleotides) under Calanus sinicus. RNAcentral's name for it is "partial ITS2". Lineage: Eukaryota; Metazoa; Arthropoda; Copepoda; Calanoida; Calanidae. The record is from RNAcentral.
AUCUGACUCAGGGUCGGUUAACAUCCAUCGGACGGCUUGCUGUUCGCAUUGGGCGGUCGCUAUGCCUAGGCACAGCGUCGCUCCAAGGUAUGCUGUACGGAGUUCACUGACUCGACUCUUGGGAACUUGYGUCCUGGGUCGCUGACGUGGCCGUAUGUGCUUGGCGCCGGGACUUAGACUGACUGUCUCGUAAGCGCCUCCCGACUUUACUU